GGAAAGCAAGGAACAACUCUGGCAUCUACUAUAAUAUGCUACCAAAGUGUAGUGACAAUAGACUAAACCAUUUAUGACUUCUUUGGGAGACACUCUGCCCUGUGUCUUGUUCCGUGGAAAGAGUGACUCCACCAGAAAUCUUAACUGCUAUAGCCUAUAAUCACUACACUUACGCAGCAUAUUGUAGGAGCUAGAGUUUAUCAGUAGUUCUAAGUGACCAAUGCUAUUCCUUGCUUUUAUAUAUUCUGAUGAAAACUCCUCAUAUUCUAAUAGCCUACCAGUGCACAUAAGAAGAAUGAGGAUACUCGGAAUGUAAGGAACAACUGUGGCAUCUACUAUAAUAUGCUACCAAAGUGUAAUGACAAUAGACUAAACCAUUUAUGAUUUAUUGAGGACACACUCUUUGCGAUCGUCAUUUGUCAAGCAUGCGUCGCGCCUUCUCCACGGGGCCUUAUCGCAUCAUCCCUUGCCUUUGCUGCCUCGCCGGUGCACUUGUCGAACGGUUCUUAGCAGCAAUAUAGUGUUUCCCGUGAGAGAGUUCGCCCGCCGUGUGCAACCAACCCCUCCACACACCGACCCUCAGAGAAAAAAAAAAGGACAUAAGAAAACCGACUCGCCUUUGGACCUCGAGGCUUACGAUUGGCGGAGGGGCCGUCGAGUCAUUCAGGUGGUGGACGCUCAUUGGUGGAACGUCCGAUUCAAAGUUUGUAUACGCCUGUGAUUGGCUGGGAGUCCGCUGCGAUAGGCCGGGGAGGGGGUCGAGGAUAUAAAAGGGAGAGAUAAGAGCGUAGGGCCACAGUGCCUGUAUCGUAUACGUGCGUGGUGGAGUCCCGUCGCCCAGUCAGUCACGCAGAGCCAGCCAACCAGUCACUCUGUCCACAUCCUCCUCGCCUUCUCCAGCUAGUCAAACCCGAAGACUCAAUCCCCUAGAGUUCUUUUGCGUCACUCCCUUGUUUGUACUACAGCGUGUGAACAAGCAAUGGAGGGUGUUUGUACUUGAGAAAUUGUUAUAUUAUGGCGUAACUAUUAUUUAUAUAUAUAUAUAUCUUGAGAUGGCGGUGGAGAGGGUGGAGGUGCUGGUGAAGAGAGAGAGAGAGAGAGAGAGAGAGAGGAGGAAGAACUGGGCGGAGAAGCGUGGAAAGAGAAACGGGAAAGUAAAAGGAAAACAAGAACAAGAACGAGAGGGAAUCAUAACGCAAACAAGAGGAAAACGAGGACGAGAGAUAAAGAGAAUCGAACCCCGAAGGAUCGAAUCGACCUAAGUCCAGAUCCUCCCUUCUUCGGCAUCCCCCGCGUCUCCUCUUCGCCGCCGCCCGCCACGCCAUCUGUCGGGGCGCAGGGAGUUGGAAGUGUGGAUCUCCGGCAGUCCCUUGCGAUGCCCUUCCUGCCAGAUCUAACUCUUCCAGCUCACUGCUCCCCGACACCCCCACGAUUGCGCCACGACUUCGCUACGACCUCGCCCCGACUUCGUUACGACCAUAGUACAUACAUACAUACAUACACACGCAGUUAAAGACUUUCUUAUGUGUUUUUUUUUCCCAUUUACUCAAUAUUAACACUUUUCUUGUCGUUGUUGUUAUUUUUGUUUUCUUAUUUUCUUUGAUCUGGUUUUGUCUUUCCAGUUUGUCUUUUUCAUCUCUCUCUCUCUCUCUCUCUCUCUCUCUCUCUCUCUCUCUCUCUCUCUCUCUCUCUCUCUCUCUCUCUCUCUCUCUCUCUCUCUCUCUCUCUCUCUCAAUACAAGUAUAUAUUUUGGGUCACAAACUCAUAUUUAUAGAUUACUUAUUUAUUUGCACAUUGCAUCAGAAUAUAAAUGUAGAGCAUGUUUGAUGUUUGAUGAGCUGUUUUAUUUAUUUUGUUCUCUAUAGGCUGAACUGGUGAUCAUUGUUGACAUUCAUUGAAGCAUAAUUUGACUUUGAAUUUGUACUAGCAUUGUUGAAUCUCUGUACUUGCUUCAUAUAGUUUCUGCUGUCCACCUGUUCUUCCGUUCUUUUCUUCAUCAUUCAUUACUGUCUUUUAUUUAGGUGUAGAAGUUAUGAUCGGACACUGUUUUGACUCCUGGCGUAUUGAGAUCUGUUUACGUCACUGUUCAGACUCUCAUUUGACCACACAAUACACUACCCUUCAAAAUGGAAAUGAGCUAUGAAUACUAAGAAUACGAACUUGUCAUUACUCUCUUCAUGUGUUAUUUAGACUGACAACAUGGCAGAAUAAACGUAACUGUAUAAUAAUAAUAAUGGUAAUGUUUGUAUGGGAUCAGGAGGAAUGGGAGAUCAGGAUAAGGAAAGGGUAGGAGAGGAGGAGGAGGAGGAGGAGGAGGAAGGAAGGGAAGUGCAUGCAAGGGGGGAGCUUUGGGCUAAGUGGAGAAGUGGUCUCCUCACUUCGUACUUUAUAAUAGUGAGAUUCAACUCCUCCAACUUAGCUCCUCCUGCCCAACAGUCACCACCACCAGCACCACCACCUUUAGUAACCAGUAUUAGUAGUAUUAGUUGUAUUAGUAGUGGUAUCAAUGGUGUUAGUAUUAGCAGGCUUUUUUUUCAGCUGGCUUUUUUUUCAUUAUUGUUUAAUAUUGGUAUCAUUAGUAUUAGUGGGCUUUUCUUUUCCCUUUCAUUAUUGUUUCCUUUUUUUGCCCUUGACCUGUUUCCUCUACUGUAAAAAAAAAAAAUAAUAAUAAAAAAAUAAAUCAAUUACAAGGGCAUAUGUUUGUUGUGUAUCAUCACUCUUAUUAUUAUUAUUAUUAUUAUUAUUAUUAUUAUUAUUAUUAUUACUAUUAUUAUUUCCAUGCAUGUUUUUCUGUGCAAUAAAUGAGUGUCCUUCA
Molecule: long non-coding RNA, 2815 nt
Organism: Eriocheir sinensis (Chinese mitten crab)
Lineage: Eukaryota; Metazoa; Arthropoda; Malacostraca; Decapoda; Varunidae
Exons: 2
Source: RefSeq, a predicted model, not a curated record